RNAcentral lists this ribosomal RNA (372 nucleotides) under Triticum aestivum (bread wheat). RNAcentral's name for it is "partial small subunit ribosomal RNA". The record is from RNAcentral. Lineage: Eukaryota; Viridiplantae; Streptophyta; Magnoliopsida; Poales; Poaceae.
AUGGUUUCGCAUAGCAUUGGCAAUGACCAAGAAAACAAAAAAAAUACAUGGUUCCAGCAAAAACAAAGUAUGGUUCCAGCAAAAACAAAAAAAAUGGUUUCGCAUAGCAUUGGCAAUGACCAACAAAACAAAAAAAAUGCAUGGUUCCAGCAAACAAAAAACAUGGUUCCAGCAAAAACAAAGUGUGGUUCCAGCAAAAACAAACAGAUUGCCGUCGCUGGAUCACAGCAAAAAAAUUGGUCCGUUCCAGCAAAAAAACUGGGUCGCCGCCGAUCCGUAGCUGCCGGCCCCAGCAGCACGCACCACCGGUUGCAACAUCCCGGCGGGCUGCUCCCAGCGCGCACCACCGGUGCUGGCGUGUGGGUCUUGUAG